GAGUUUGAUCCUGGCUCAGAUUGAACGCUGGCGGCAGGCCUAACACAUGCAAGUCGGGCGGUAGAGAGAAGCUUGCUUCUCUUGAGAGCGGCGGACGGGUGAGUAAUGCCUAGGAAUCUGCCUGGUAGUGGGGGAUAACGCUCGGAAACGGACGCUAAUACCGCAUACGUCCUACGGGAGAAAGCAGGGGACCUUCGGGCCUUGCGCUAUCAGAUGAGCCUAGGUCGGAUUAGCUAGUUGGUGAGGUAAUGGCUCACCAAGGCGACGAUCCGUAACUGGUCUGAGAGGAUGAUCAGUCACACUGGAACUGAGACACGGUCCAGACUCCUACGGGAGGCAGCAGUGGGGAAUAUUGGACAAUGGGCGAAAGCCUGAUCCAGCCAUGCCGCGUGUGUGAAGAAGGUCUUCGGAUUGUAAGGCACUUUAAGUUGGGAGGAAGGGCAGUAAAUUAAUACUUUGCUGUUUUGACGUUACGACAGAAUAAGCACCGGCUAACUCUGUGCCAGCCGCCG
This 512-nucleotide ribosomal RNA is filed under the name uncultured bacterium. RNAcentral's name for it is "bacterial SSU rRNA". It matches the Rfam family "Bacterial small subunit ribosomal RNA", at positions 9 to 517 of the family's 1533-position model. The record is from RNAcentral.